GGUGACGAGCGGCGGACGGGUGAGUAACGCGUAGGAAUCUACCUAGUAGAGGGGGACAACAUGUGGAAACGCAUGCUAAUACCGCAUACGCCCUUAGGGGGAAAGGAGGGGACUUUUCGGAGCCUUCCGCUAUUAGAUGAGCCUGCGUGAGAUUAGCUAGUUGGUAGGGUAAAGGCCUACCAAGGCGACGAUCUCUAACUGGUCUGAGAGGAUGACCAGUCACACUGGGACUGAGACACGGCCCAGACUCC
This 251-nucleotide ribosomal RNA is filed under the name uncultured bacterium. Its description in RNAcentral is "partial 16S ribosomal RNA". It matches the Rfam family "Bacterial small subunit ribosomal RNA", at positions 87 to 339 of the family's 1533-position model. The record is from RNAcentral.